Molecule: ribosomal RNA, 524 nt
Filed under: uncultured bacterium
Lineage: Bacteria
Description: partial 16S ribosomal RNA
Rfam family: Bacterial small subunit ribosomal RNA
Source: RNAcentral
GACGAACGCUGGCGGCGUGCCUAAUACAUGCAAGUCGAGCGCAGGAAAUCGACGGAACCCUUCGGGGGGAAGUCGACGGAAUGAGCGGCGGACGGGUGAGUAACACGUAAAGAACCUGCCCUCAGGUCCGGGAUAACCACGAGAAACCGGGGCUCAUACCGGAUGGGUCAUCGGACCGCAUGGUCCGAGGAUGAAAGGCGCUUCGGCGUCGCCUGGGGAUGGCUUUGCGGUGCAUUAGCUUGUUGGUGGGGUAAUGGCCCACCAAGGCGACGAUGCAUAGCCGACCUGGGAGGGUGAUCGGCCACACUGGGACUGAGACACGGCCCAGACUCCUACGGGAGGCAGCAGUAGGGAAUCUUCCACAAUGGACGAAAGUCUGAUGGAGCAACGCCGCGUGAACGAUGAAGGCCUUCGGGUCGUAAAGUUCUGUUGUAAGGGAAGAACAAGUGCCGCAGGCAAUGGCGGCACCUUGACGGUACCUUGCGAGAAAGCCACGGCUAACUACGUGCCAGCCGCCGCCGUAA